Molecule: transfer RNA, 67 nt
Filed under: pig gut metagenome
Rfam family: tRNA
About the family: Transfer RNA (tRNA) molecules are approximately 80 nucleotides in length. Their secondary structure includes four short double-helical elements and three loops (D, anti-codon, and T loops). Further hydrogen bonds mediate the characteristic L-shaped molecular structure. tRNAs have two regions of fundamental functional importance: the anti-codon, which is responsible for specific mRNA codon recognition, and the 3' end, to which the tRNAs corresponding amino acid is attached (by aminoacyl-tRNA synthetases). tRNAs cope with the degeneracy of the genetic code in two manners: having more than one tRNA (with a specific anti-codon) for a particular amino acid; and 'wobble' base-pairing, i.e. permitting non-standard base-pairing at the 3rd anti-codon position.
Source: RNAcentral
UGAUGUGGCUUAGAGGUAAAGCACUGCCUUGGUAAGGCAGAGACCACGGGUUCGAGCCCCGUCAUCA